Molecule: ribosomal RNA, 500 nt
Filed under: uncultured bacterium
Lineage: Bacteria
Description: partial 16S ribosomal RNA
Rfam family: Bacterial small subunit ribosomal RNA
Source: RNAcentral
AUUGAACGCUGGCGGCAUGCCUUACACAUGCAAGUCGAACGGUAACGGGUCCUUCGGGAUGCCGACGAGUGGCGAACGGGCGAGUAAUAUAUCGGAACGUGCCCAGUAGUGGGGGAUAACUGCUCGAAAGAGCAGCUAAUACCGCAUACGACCUGAGGGUGAAAGGGGGGGAUCGCAAGACCUCUCGCUAUUGGAGCGGCCGAUAUCAGAUUAGCUAGUUGGUGGGGUAAAGGCCUAACAAGGCAACGAUCUGUAGUUGGUCUGAGAGGACGACCGGCCACACUGGGACUGAGACCCGGCCCAGACUCCUACGGGAGGCAGCAGUGGGGAAUUUUGGACAAUGGGCGCAAGCCUGAUCCAGCAAUGCCGCGUGCAGGAAGAAGGCCUUCGGGUUGUAAACUGCUUUUGUCAGGGAAGAAAUCUUCUGGGCUAAUACCCCGGGAGGAUGACGGUACCUGAAGAAUAAGCACCGGCUAACUACGUGCCAGCAGCCGCCGUAA